Molecule: non-coding RNA, 110 nt
Filed under: Clostridium sp.
Lineage: Bacteria; Bacillati; Bacillota; Clostridia; Eubacteriales; Clostridiaceae
Description: SAM-I sequence
Rfam family: SAM riboswitch aptamer (S box leader)
About the family: The SAM riboswitch is found upstream of a number of genes which code for proteins involved in methionine or cysteine biosynthesis in Gram-positive bacteria.
Source: RNAcentral
AUCUUAUCAAGAGAGGCGGAGGGACUGGCCCUAUGAAACCCAACAACCAGCAUUUUUCAUUUGAAUGCAUGGUGUUAAUUCCUGCAAAAUUAAGUUUUGAGAGAUAAGAG